This 420-nucleotide ribosomal RNA is filed under the name uncultured bacterium. RNAcentral describes it as "partial 16S ribosomal RNA". It matches the Rfam family "Bacterial small subunit ribosomal RNA", at positions 361 to 773 of the family's 1533-position model. The record is from RNAcentral.
AUCUUCCGCUAUGGACGAAAGUCUGACGGAGCAACGCCGCGUGAGUGAUGAAGGGCUUCGGCUCGUAAAACUCUGUUGUUAAGGAAGAACCCAUGAGGUAGUAACUGGCCUUGGGAUGACGGUACUUAACCAGAAAGCCACGGCUAUCUCCGUGCCAGCAGCCGCGGUAAUACGUAGGUGGCCAGCGUUAUCCGAAAAUAUUGGGCGUAAAGCGCGCGUAGGCUGUAAAAUGAGGCUGAUGUGAAAGCCCCCGGCUCAACCGGGGAGGGUCAUUGGAAACUGUUUUACUUGAGUACAGAAGAGGAGAGUGAAAUUCCAUGUAUAGCGGAGAGAUGCGCAGAGAUAUGGAGGAACACCAGUGGCGAAGGCGGCUCUCUGGUCUGUUACUGACGCUGAGGUGCGAAAGCGUGGGGAUCAAAC